Molecule: long non-coding RNA, 300 nt
Filed under: Mytilus galloprovincialis (Mediterranean mussel)
Lineage: Eukaryota; Metazoa; Mollusca; Bivalvia; Mytilida; Mytilidae
Source: RNAcentral
CAACUCGUGCUUUAUUUAAAACCUUCAAAACACAAUGCUAUAUCUUCAUCAUUAUGAUUUUUGGCCGGACAAAUAGCGAAAAACCGUUAAAAUGCUAUUUGUCCGACUUGCCGGAUGAAUAGACAUUUUUGACUAUUUGUCCGGCUAGCCGGACGAAUAGCCACUGCCUUAAAAGAAGGGGGACAAUAUACCUCUAAGUAGUAAAACUUUAAGAUUAAUAUUCUUUAAAUUGUAUAGCUUUCUUAUUCUGGCUUUCUCCUCAAUUUUUAAAUUAUAUUAAGAAUCACGUUUUUACGCCAG